Molecule: ribosomal RNA, 254 nt
Filed under: uncultured bacterium
Lineage: Bacteria
Description: partial 16S ribosomal RNA
Rfam family: Bacterial small subunit ribosomal RNA
Source: RNAcentral
UACGUAGGGUCCGAGCGUUGUCCGGAAUUACUGGGCGUAAAGAGCUCGUAGGUGGUUUGUCGCGUUGUUCGUGAAAACUCACAGCUCAACUGUGGGCGUGCGGGCGAUACGGGCAGACUAGAGUACUGCAGGGGGAGACUGGAAUUCCUGGUGUAGCGGUGGAAUGCGCAGAUAUCAGGAGGAACACCGGUGGCGAAGGCGGGUCUCUGGGCCGUUACUGACGCUGAGGAGCGAAAGCGUGGGGAGCGAACAGG